GACGAACGCUGGCGGCGUGCUUAACACAUGCAAGUCGAACGGAAAGGCCCUGCUUUUGUGGGGUGCACGAGUGGCGAACGGGUGAGUAACACGUGAGUAACCUGCCCUUGACUUUGGGAUAACUUCAGGAAACUGGGGCUAAUACCGGAUAGAAGCUCCUGCUGCAUGGUGGGGGUUGGAAAGUUUCGGCGGUUGGGGAUGGACUCGCGGCUUAUCAGCUUGUUGGUGGGGUAGUGGCUUACCAAGGCUUUGACGGGUAGCCGGCCUGAGAGGGUGACCGGCCACAUUGGGACUGAGAUACGGCCCAGACUCCUACGGGAGGCAGCAGUGGGGAAUAUUGCACAAUGGGCGGAAGCCUGAUGCAGCAACGCCGCGUGCGGGAUGACGGCCUUCGGGUUGUAAACCGCUUUCGCCUGUGACGAAGCGUGAGUGACGGUAAUGGGUAAAGAAGCACCGGCUAACUACGUG
This 468-nucleotide ribosomal RNA is filed under the name uncultured bacterium. Its description in RNAcentral is "partial 16S ribosomal RNA". It matches the Rfam family "Bacterial small subunit ribosomal RNA", at positions 28 to 507 of the family's 1533-position model. The record is from RNAcentral.